CCUACGGGAGGCAGCAGUGAGGAAUAUUCGUCAAUGGACGAGAGUCUGAACCAGCCACGCAGCGUGAAUGAUGACUGCCCUAUGGGCUGUAAACUUCUUUUAUAUGGGAAUAAAAUGUUCCACGUGUGGGUUUUUGUAUGUACCAUAUGUAUCAGGAUCGGCUAACUCCGUGCCAGCAGCCGCGGUAAUACGGUGGAUCCGAGGGUUAUCCGGAUUUAUUGGGUUGAAAGUGAGCGUAGGUGGUUUGUUAAGUCAGUUGUGAAAGUUUGCGGCUCAACCGUAAAAGUGCAGUUGAAACUGGGAGUCUUGAGUACAGAAGAGGAGAGCGGAAGUCGAGGUGUAGCGGUGAAAUGCUUAGAUAUCACGAAGAACACCAGUGGCGAAAGCAGCUCACUGGACUGCAACUGACACUGAGGUUCGAAAGUGUGGGUAGCAAACAGGAUUAGAUACCCUGGUAGUC
Molecule: ribosomal RNA, 460 nt
Filed under: uncultured bacterium
Lineage: Bacteria
Description: partial 16S ribosomal RNA
Rfam family: Bacterial small subunit ribosomal RNA
Source: RNAcentral